AGAGUUUGAUCAUGGCUCAGGAUGAACGCUGGCGGCGUGCUUAACACAUGCAAGUCGAACGAUGAAGCUGGAGCUUGCUCCGGUGGAUUAGUGGCGAACGGGUGAGUAACACGUGAGCAAUCUGCCCUUGACUCUGGGAUAACUGCGGGAAACUGUAGCUAAUACCGGAUACGACGCCUUGGGGCAUCCCACGGGCGUGGAAAGAAUUUCGGUCAAGGAUGAGCUCGCGGCCUAUCAGCUAGUUGGUGAGGUAAUGGCUCACCAAGGCGACGACGGGUAGCCGGCCUGAGAGGGUGACCGGCCACACUGGGACUGAGACACGGCCCAGACUCCUACGGGAGGCAGCAGUGGGGAACAUUGCGCAAUGGGCGAAAGCCUGACGCAGCAACGCCGCGUGAGGGAUGAAGGCCUUCGGGUUGUAAACCUCUUUUAGCAGGGAAGAAGCGAAAGUGACGGUACCUGCAGAAAAAGCACCGGCUAACUACGUGCCAGCAGCCGCGGUAAUACGUAGGGUGCAAGCGUUAUCCGGAAUUAUUGGGCGUAAAGAGCUCGUAGGCGGUUUGUCGCGUCUGCUGUGAAAAUCUGAGGCUCAACCUCGGACUUGCAGUGGGUACGGGCAGACUAGAGUGCGGUAGGGGAGAAGGGAAUUCCUGGUGUAGCGGUGGAAUGCGCAGAUAUCAAGAGGAACACCAAUGGCGAAAGCACUUCUCUGGGCCGUAACUGACGCUGAGGACCGAAAGCGUGGGGAGCGAACAGGAUUAGAUACCCUGGUAGUCCACGCCGUAAACGUUGGGCGCUAGAUGUGGGUCACAUUCCACGUGAUCCGUGUCGCAGCUAACGCAUUAAGCGCCCCGCCUGGGGAGUACGGCCGCAAGGCUAAACUCAUAGGGAUUGACGGGGGCCCGCACAGCGGCGGAGCAUGCG
Molecule: ribosomal RNA, 924 nt
Filed under: uncultured bacterium
Lineage: Bacteria
Description: bacterial SSU rRNA
Rfam family: Bacterial small subunit ribosomal RNA
Source: RNAcentral